AGCAGCCGCGGUAAUUCCAGCUCCAAUAGCGUAUAUUAAAGUUGUUGCAGUUAAAAAGCUCGUAGUUGAAUUUCGGGAUCAAUAUAUUGGUCAUGCUUAGGUAUGUACUGGUAUUAUUGAUUUCUCCCUUCUGAAGAACCAUAAUGUCAUUAAUUUGAUGUCAUGGGGAAUCAGGACUAGUUACUUUGAAAAAAUUAGAGUGUUUAAAGCAGGCUUUCGCUUGAAUACAUUAGCAUGGAAUAAUGAAAUAGGACGUUUGAUUCUAUUUUGUUGGUUUCUAGGAUCGACGUAAUGAUUAAUAGGGGAUAGUUGGGGGCAUUAGUAUUCAAUUGUCAGAGGUGAAAUUCUUGGAUUUAUUGAAGACUAACUAACUGCGAAAGCAAUUUGCCUAAGGAUGUUUUCAUUAAUCAAGAACGAAAGUUAGGGGAUCGAAGACGAUCAGAUACCGUCGUAGUCUUAACCAUAAACUAUGCCGACUAGGGAUCGGAUGAUGUAAUUUUUAAUGACUC
RNAcentral lists this ribosomal RNA (509 nucleotides) under uncultured Glomus. RNAcentral describes it as "SSU rRNA". It matches the Rfam family "Eukaryotic small subunit ribosomal RNA", at positions 569 to 1077 of the family's 1831-position model. The record is from RNAcentral. Lineage: Eukaryota; Fungi; Glomeromycota; Glomeromycetes; Glomerales; Glomeraceae.